This 344-nucleotide unclassified non-coding RNA is filed under the name soil metagenome. RNAcentral describes it as "partial contains 5.8S ribosomal RNA, internal transcribed spacer 2, and large subunit ribosomal RNA". The stretch from base 1 to 120 matches the Rfam family "5.8S ribosomal RNA", at positions 35 to 154 of the family's 154-position model. The record is from RNAcentral.
GAUGAAGAACGCAUCGAAAUGCGAUAAGUAAUGUGAAUUGCAGAAUUCAGUGAAUCAUCGAAUCUUUGAACGCACAUUGCGCCCGCCAGUAUUCUCGCGGGCAUGCCUGUUCGAGCGUCAUUUCAACCCUCAAGCCCCCGGGCUUGGUGUUGGGGAUCGGCGUGCCCUCGCGGCGCGCCGUCCCCUAAAUCUAGUGGCGGUCUCGCUGUAGCUUCCUCUGCGUAGUAGCAACACUCGCACUGGAUCGCAGCGCGGCCACGCCGUUAAACCCCCCACUUCUGAAAGUUUGACCUCGGAUCAGGUAGGAAUACCCGCUGAACUUAAGCAUAUCAAUAAGCGGAGGA